AACAUACCCUAACGCGGCAUCUGGACUUUGCCAACUUUUGCUCCCCCAGCAUCAGUGACCAAACAAACCCGUUGUUGACCCACAGAAGUUUGCAAUCAUUGCACGGGGCAAAAGUGAUAUUCUGAUAUGUUGUCACAACCAUUGCCUAUUUUUUGAUUGCCCAGUUUCUGCAUUUUGCCAAGUGCCUGAGGUGAGUGCACAGCAGGUGGAGUUUCCAAAAUUGGAAGACUUGAUCAGUUGGUGUGAAGAGUUCCAGCCAUGACCAGGAUGAAGGCAUUGCUGGCCAGGCAGCAUUUAUUGCCCAUCCCUACUUGCCCAGAAAACAGUUAACAAUCAACCACUUUGCUGUGGGUUUGGAGUCACAUAUAGGCCAGACCAGAUUGUUGCAUAACUCUUCUUCCGAUACCCUACUUUGGAAACAUUUUUGAAGAUGAUUUUACCAGGAUUCGGAAUGGUAAUUCAAGCAGAGACUCCUUAAUGAAUCACAAAUUCUGAGUAUUUACUUCUGGGAUUUAUUAACCACAGCUCUGAUUAU
Long non-coding RNA from Stegostoma tigrinum, 535 nucleotides. RefSeq lists it as uncharacterized. The record is from RefSeq and is a predicted model, not a curated record. The transcript has 4 exons. Lineage: Eukaryota; Metazoa; Chordata; Chondrichthyes; Orectolobiformes; Stegostomatidae.